RNAcentral lists this ribosomal RNA (2877 nucleotides) under Escherichia coli. RNAcentral's name for it is "bacterial LSU rRNA". It matches the Rfam family "Bacterial large subunit ribosomal RNA". Lineage: Bacteria; Pseudomonadati; Pseudomonadota; Gammaproteobacteria; Enterobacterales; Enterobacteriaceae. The record is from RNAcentral.
UUAAGCGACUAAGCGUACACGGUGGAUGCCCUGGCAGUCAGAGGCGAUGAAGGACGUGCUAAUCUGCGAUAAGCGUCGGUAAGGUGAUAUGAACCGUUAUAACCGGCGAUUUCCGAAUGGGGAAACCCAGUGUGUUUCGACACACUAUCAUUAACUGAAUCCAUAGGUUAAUGAGGCGAACCGGGGGAACUGAAACAUCUAAGUACCCCGAGGAAAAGAAAUCAACCGAGAUUCCCCCAGUAGCGGCGAGCGAACGGGGAGCAGCCCAGAGCCUGAAUCAGUGUGUGUGUUAGUGGAAGCGUCUGGAAAGGCGCGCGAUACAGGGUGACAGCCCCGUACACAAAAAUGCACAUGCUGUGAGCUCGAUGAGUAGGGCGGGACACGUGGUAUCCUGUCUGAAUAUGGGGGGACCAUCCUCCAAGGCUAAAUACUCCUGACUGACCGAUAGUGAACCAGUACCGUGAGGGAAAGGCGAAAAGAACCCCGGCGAGGGGAGUGAAAAAGAACCUGAAACCGUGUACGUACAAGCAGUGGGAGCACGCUUAGGCGUGUGACUGCGUACCUUUUUGUAUAAUGGGUCAGCGACUUAUAUUCUGUAGCAAGGUUAACCGAAUAGGGGAGCCGAAGGGAAACCGAGUCUUAACUGGGCGUUAAGUUGCAGGGUAUAGACCCGAAACCCGGUGAUCCAGCCAUGGGCAGGUUGAAGGUUGGGUAACACUAACUGGAGGACCGAACCGACUAAUGUUGAAAAAUUAGCGGAUGACUUGUGGCUGGGGUGAAAGGCCAAUCAAACCGGGAGAUAGCUGGUUCUCCCGAAAGCUAUUUAGGUAGCGCCUCGUGAAUUCAUCUCCGGGGUAGAGCACUGUUUCGGCAAGGGGUCAUCCCGACUUACCAACCCGAUGCAAACUGCGAAUACCGGAGAAUGUUAUCACGGGAGACACACGGCGGUGCUAACGUCCGUCGUGAAGAGGGAAACAACCCAGACCGCCAGCUAAGGUCCCAAAGUCAUGGUUAAGUGGGAAACGAUGGGAAGGCCCAGACAGCCGUGAUGUUGGCUUAGAAGCAGCCAUCAUUUAAAGAAAGCGUAAUAGCUCACUGGUCGAGUCGGCCUGCGCGGAAGAUGUAACGGGCUAAACCAUGCACCGAAGCGGCAGCGACGCUGAUGCGUUGUUGGGUAGGGGAGCGUUCUGUAAGCCUGCGAAGGUGUGCUGUGAGGCAUGCUGGAGGUAUCAGAAGUGCGAAUGCUGACAUAAGUAACGAUAAAGCGGGUGAAAAGCCCGCUCGCCGGAAGACCAAGGGUUCCUGUCCAACGUUAAUCGGGGCAGGGUGAGUCGACCCCUAAGGCGAGGCCGAAAGGCGUAGUCGAUGGGAAACAGGUUAAUAUUCCUGUACUUGGUGUUACUGCGAAGGGGACGGAGAAGGCUAUGUUGGCCGGGCGACGGUUGUCCCGGUUUAAGCGUGUAGGCUGGUUUUCCGUGCAAAUCCGGAAAAUCAAGGCUGAGGCGUGAUGACGAGGCACUACGGUGCUGAAGCAACAAAUGCCCUGCUUCCAGGAAAAGCCUCUAAGCAUCAGGUAACAUCAAAUCGUACCCCAAACCGACACAGGUGGUCAGGUAGAGAAUACCAAGGCGCUUGAGAGAACUCGGGUGAAGGAACUAGGCAAAAUGGUGCCGUAACUUCGGGAGAAGGCACGCUGAUAUGUAGGUGAAGCGACUUGCUCGUGGAGCUGAAAUCAGUCGAAGAUACCAGCUGGCUGCAACUGUUUAUUAAAAACACAGCACUGUGCAAACACGAAAGUGGACGUAUACGGUGUGACGCCUGCCCGGUGCCGGAAGGUUAAUUGAUGGGGUCAGCGCAAGCGAAGCUCUUGAUCGAAGCCCCGGUAAACGGCGGCCGUAACUAUAACGGUCCUAAGGUAGCGAAAUUCCUUGUCGGGUAAGUUCCGACCUGCACGAAUGGCGUAAUGAUGGCCAGGCUGUCUCCACCCGAGACUCAGUGAAAUUGAACUCGCUGUGAAGAUGCAGUGUACCCGCGGCAAGACGGAAAGACCCCGUGAACCUUUACUAUAGCUUGACACUGAACAUUGAGCCUUGAUGUAGGAUAGGUGGGAGGCUUGGAAGUGUGGACGCCAGUCUGCAUGGAGCCGACCUUGAAAUACCACCCUUUAAUGUUUGAUGUUCUAACGUUGACCCGUAAUCCGGGUUGCGGACAGUGUCUGGUGGGUAGUUUGACUGGGGCGGUCUCCUCCUAAAGAGUAACGGAGGAGCACGAAGGUUGGCUAAUCCUGGUCGGACAUCAGGAGGUUAGUGCAAUGGCAUAAGCCAGCUUGACUGCGAGCGUGACGGCGCGAGCAGGUGCGAAAGCAGGUCAUAGUGAUCCGGUGGUUCUGAAUGGAAGGGCCAUCGCUCAACGGAUAAAAGGUACUCCGGGGAUAACAGGCUGAUACCGCCCAAGAGUUCAUAUCGACGGCGGUGUUUGGCACCUCGAUGUCGGCUCAUCACAUCCUGGGGAAGUAGGUCCCAAGGGUAUGGCUGUUCGCCAUUUAAAGUGGUACGCGAGCUGGGUUUAGAACGUCGUGAGACAGUUCGGUCCCUAUCGCCGUGGGCGCUGGAGAACUGAGGGGCUGCUCCUACGAGAGGACCGGAGUGGACGCAUCACUGGUGUUCGGGUUGUCAUGCCAAUGGCACUGCCCGGUAGCUAAAUGCGGAAGAGAUAAGUGCUGAAAGCAUCUAAGCACGAAACUUGCCCCGAGAUGAGUUCUCCUGACUCCUUGAGAGUCCUGAAGGAACGUUGAAGACGACGACGUUGAUAGGCCGGGUGUGUAAGCGCAGCGAUGCGUUGAGCUAACCGGUACUAAUGAACCGUGAGGCUUAACCU